This 464-nucleotide ribosomal RNA is filed under the name uncultured bacterium. RNAcentral's name for it is "partial 16S ribosomal RNA". It matches the Rfam family "Bacterial small subunit ribosomal RNA", at positions 338 to 795 of the family's 1533-position model. The record is from RNAcentral.
CCUACGGGAGGCUGCAGUAGGGAAUCUUCCACAAUGGGCGAAAGCCUGAUGGAGCAACGCCGCGUGGGUGAAGAAGGUCUUCGGAUCGUAAACCCUGUUGUUAGAGAAGAAAGUGCGUGAGAGUAACUGUUCACGUUUCGACGGUAUCUAACCAGAAAGCCACGGCUAACUACGUGCCAGCAGCCGCGGUAAUACGUAGGUGGCAAGCGUUAUCCGGAUUUAGUGGGCGUAAAGGGAACGCAAGCGGUCUUUUAAGUCUGAUUGGAAAGCCUUCGGCUUAACCGGAGUAGUGCAUUGGAAACUGGGAGACUUGAGUGCAGAAGAGGAGAGUGGAACUCCAUGUGUAGCGGUGAAAUGCGUAGAUAUAUGGAAGAACACCAGUGGCGAAAGCGGCUCUCUGGUCUGUAACUGACGCUGAGGUUCGAAAGCGUGGGUAGCAAACAGGAUUAGAUACCCCAGUAGUC